CCUACGGGUGGCAGCAGUGAGGAAUAUUGGUCAAUGGGCGCGAGCCUGAACCAGCCAAGUAGCGUGAGGGAUGACGGCCCUACGGGUUGUAAACCUCUUUUAUAGGGGAGUAACGGGCGUCACGCGUAGCGUUUUGAGUGUACCCGAUGAAUAAGCACCGGCUAACUCCGUUCCAGCAGCCGCGGUAAUACGGAGGGUCCGGGCGUUAUCCGGAUUUAUUGGGUUUAAAGGGGGCGCAGGCGGCAGAUCAAGUCAGCGGUAAAAUUGAGGGGCUCAACCUCGUCGUGCCGUGGAAACUGGUUUGCUUGAGUGAGCGGGAAGUAGGCGGAAUUCGUGGUGUAGCGGUGAAAUGCAUAGAUAUCACGAAGAACGCCGAUUGCGAAGGCAGCAUACUGCCGCGGAACUGACGCUCAUGCACGAAAGUGCGGGUAUCGAACAGGAUUAGAUACCCGAGUAGUC
This 459-nucleotide ribosomal RNA is filed under the name uncultured bacterium. RNAcentral describes it as "partial 16S ribosomal RNA". It matches the Rfam family "Bacterial small subunit ribosomal RNA", at positions 338 to 795 of the family's 1533-position model. The record is from RNAcentral.